ACUUCAGGACGGGGACAACAGUUGGAAACGACUGCUAAUACCCGAUGUGCCGCAAGGUGAAACCUAAUUGGCCUGGAGAAGAGCUUGCGUCUGAUUAGCUAGUUGGUGGGGUAAAGGCCUACCAAGGCGACGAUCAGUAGCUGGUCUGAGAGGAUGAGCAGCCACACUGGGACUGAGACACGGCCCAGACUCCUACGGGAGGCAGCAGUGGGGAAUUUUCCGCAAUGGGCGAAAGCCUGACGGAGCAACGCCGCGUGAGGGAGGAAGGUCUUUGGAUUGUAAACCUCUUUUCUCAAGGAAGAAGUUCUGACGGUACUUGAGGAAUCAGCCUCGGCUAACUCCGUGCCAGCAGCCGCGGUAAUACGGGGGAGGCAAGUGUUAUCCGGAAUUAUUGGGCGUAAAGCGUCCGCAGGUGGUCAGCCAAGUCUGCCGUCAAAUCAGGUUGCUUAACGACCUA
This 457-nucleotide ribosomal RNA is filed under the name Microcystis wesenbergii. RNAcentral describes it as "bacterial SSU rRNA". It matches the Rfam family "Bacterial small subunit ribosomal RNA", at positions 129 to 619 of the family's 1533-position model. Lineage: Bacteria; Bacillati; Cyanobacteriota; Cyanophyceae; Chroococcales; Microcystaceae. The record is from RNAcentral.